GACGAACGCUGGCGGCGUGCUUAACACAUGCAAGUCGAGCGGUAAGGCCCUUUCGGGGGUACACGAGCGGCGAAACGGGUGAGUAACACGUGGGUGACCUGCCCUCAGCUCUGGGAUAAGCCUGGGAAACCGGGUCUAAUACCGGAUAUGACUCCAUGACGCAUGUUGUGGGGUGGAAAGCCUUGUGCGGCUGAGGAUGGGCCCGCGGCCUAUCAGCUUGUUGGUGGGGUGAUGGCCUACCAAGGCGACGACGGGUAGCCGGCCUGAGAGGGCGACCGGCCACACUGGGACUGAGACACGGCCCAGACUCCUACGGGAGGCAGCAGUGGGGAAUCUUGCGCAAUGGGCGAAAGCCUGACGCAGCGACGCCGCGUGAGGGAUGACGGCCU
Molecule: ribosomal RNA, 389 nt
Filed under: uncultured bacterium
Lineage: Bacteria
Description: bacterial SSU rRNA
Rfam family: Bacterial small subunit ribosomal RNA
Source: RNAcentral